This 294-nucleotide long non-coding RNA is filed under the name Homo sapiens (human). RNAcentral's name for it is "HSALNT0096443". Lineage: Eukaryota; Metazoa; Chordata; Mammalia; Primates; Hominidae. The record is from RNAcentral.
UGGGCACCCCUGAUGAAAGGCAGUUUAGAGCCUCCCAAAGGACAGAACAGAGAAAACCUGGAGCUUGGAGCUCUGGACAGACAGUGUCCUACUAGCGGCUCCUUUCCAAGAGGACAGAUUCUGAAUGAAGCAACAACCACCAAGAGAAAAACAGAGUGAAGCAUUAUGGUAACCACACGAAGCUCAGUCUCAUCUGAUCUUCACCUCCCACCCAAUUGCCUUGCCUCUCUGACUUCUGUGGGCUCAGAUGAUCUCCAAUCGACCAUCAUGGCCAGCCACAGAGCCUGACUAUAA